This 72-nucleotide transfer RNA is filed under the name Camelus bactrianus (Bactrian camel). It matches the Rfam family "tRNA". From Rfam's summary of the family: Transfer RNA (tRNA) molecules are approximately 80 nucleotides in length. Lineage: Eukaryota; Metazoa; Chordata; Mammalia; Artiodactyla; Camelidae. RNAcentral also lists the same sequence under 2 other names. The record is from Rfam by way of RNAcentral.
GAAGGUAUAGCUCUGUGGUAGAGUGCGUGCCUAGCAUGCACAAAGUCCUGGAUUCAAUCCCCAGUACUUCUA